CCCUGACCCUUUAAGGGUCCUGAAGGAACGUUGAAGACGACGACGUUGAUAGGCCGGGUGUGUAAGCGCAGCGAUGCGUUGAGCUAACCGGUACUAAUGAACCGUGAGGCUUAACCUUACAACGCCGAAGCUGUU
RNAcentral lists this ribosomal RNA (135 nucleotides) under Escherichia coli. Its description in RNAcentral is "partial 23S ribosomal RNA". The stretch from base 1 to 118 matches the Rfam family "Bacterial large subunit ribosomal RNA", at positions 2813 to 2925 of the family's 2925-position model. Lineage: Bacteria; Pseudomonadati; Pseudomonadota; Gammaproteobacteria; Enterobacterales; Enterobacteriaceae. The record is from RNAcentral.